AUGACAGCCCUAAAAAUGGAAGCCCUCUAAUUAUCCACAGAAUGGGUGUAGCAUGGGCAGCAGGUUUCUCUGUAAUGUUCCAUGAAUGUGUAUCAGAGCUAUACUAAAGGGACCACCUUUAGGAGUGAGAGGAUAGUUUAGUUUCCAUGCCCACUGAAUCCUUGUAUGCA
This 170-nucleotide small RNA is filed under the name Gopherus agassizii (Agassiz's desert tortoise). RNAcentral's name for it is "TUC338 (ENSGAGG00000017939.1)". The record is from RNAcentral. Lineage: Eukaryota; Metazoa; Chordata; Testudines; Testudinidae.